AUCUCUUUUCGGCCUUUUGGCUUAGCCCAAAGUGUAGUAUCUGUUCUUAUCAGCUUAAUAUACAGCCAUUCCAUGCAAUUUAUGCUCUUGGUGUUAUAUAAAUUUAUCCUAAAUAUCAGGAACUCUUGCCUUGGUGGUGUAGUGGUCAAAACGGUCGCCUGGUAAUCAGGAGGGCGUAGAAAUU
This 184-nucleotide small nuclear RNA is filed under the name Diaphorina citri (Asian citrus psyllid). RNAcentral describes it as "U2 spliceosomal RNA". It matches the Rfam family "U2 spliceosomal RNA". From Rfam's summary of the family: U2 is a small nuclear RNA (snRNA) component of the spliceosome (involved in pre-mRNA splicing). Lineage: Eukaryota; Metazoa; Arthropoda; Insecta; Hemiptera; Psyllidae. The record is from Rfam by way of RNAcentral.